GAUGAACGCUGGCGGCGUGCCUAAUACAUGCAAGUCGAGCGAACGGACGAGAAGCCUGCUUCUCUGAUGUUAGCGGCGGACGGGUGAGUAACACGUGGAUAACCUACCUAUAAGACUGGGAUAACUUCGGGAAACCGGAGCUAAUACCGGAUGAUAUUUUGAACCGCAUGGUUCAAAAGUGAAAGACGGUCUUGCUGUCACUUAUAGAUGGAUCCGCGCUGCAUUAGCUAGUUGGUAAGGUAACGGCUUACCAAGGCAACGAUGCAUAGCCGACCUGAGAGGGUGAUCGGCCACACUGGAACUGAGACACGGUCCAGACUCCUACGGGAGGCAGCAGUAGGGAAUCUUCCGCAAUGGGCGAAAGCCUGACGGAGCAACGCCGCGUGAGUGAUGAAGGUCUUCGGAUCGUAAAACUCUGUUAUUAGGGGAGAACAUAUGUGUAAGUAACUGUGCACAUCUUGACGGUACCUAAUCAGAAAGCCACGGCUAACUACGUG
This 497-nucleotide ribosomal RNA is filed under the name uncultured bacterium. RNAcentral's name for it is "partial 16S ribosomal RNA". It matches the Rfam family "Bacterial small subunit ribosomal RNA", at positions 28 to 507 of the family's 1533-position model. The record is from RNAcentral.